AUCAGGUUUCUCUUUCUUAAAUCACAGUUACUCACUAGGAGUGAUUUCUCCAGAACCAUAACUCCUUCUUGUGUUUUAACUGGACCUCAGCCGUCAGAAGAUCUGUGGUGACAUCUCUGAUGUUUCAUCUGGGAUUAAGAGGACCUGCAGACUUGAAUGACCUGCAGCUUCAACUCGCCAUCCUGCAGCAGGUCAGAGAGCCUCAGCUUUGUUUUUCCAGCCCAGUGAAGACUUAAGAACUGGACUGGACCAGGCUGAACUGGACAUGACCAGGCUGAACUGGAUUGGACUGAGCUGGACUGGACUAGACUGGAAUGGCCUGGACUGAACUGGGCUGGACUGGAACAGGCUGGACUGAGCUGGACUGAACUUAACUGAACUGGACUGGACUAAACUGGACCUGACUGGACUAAACUGGACUGGGCUGGACUGAACUGAACUGGACUGAACUGGACUGAGCUGGACGGAACUGGACUGGACUGAGCUGGACUGGACUAAACUUGACUGAACUGAACUUGACUGGAACGGACUAAACUGGACUGAACUGGACUGAGCUGGACUGAACUGGACUGGACUGGACUAAACUUGACUGAACUGAACUGGACUGGACUGAACUGAACUGGACUGGACUGAACUGGACUGAACUAAACUUGACUGAACUGAACUGGACUUAACUGGGCUGAAGUGGACCGGACUGGUUACCUGGUGAAGACCUCAGGUUUGUUCUCUGUGUUUCAGCUGGGGGUGAAGCUGCAGGAAGGCGGAG
Non-coding RNA from Xyrichtys novacula (pearly razorfish), 766 nucleotides. The record is from the annotation of a GenBank genome assembly. NCBI's taxonomy places the organism in Eukaryota, Metazoa, Chordata, Actinopteri, Labriformes, Labridae.